UGUUGGAUAUUCCGCCUUCAUUGCGGUCCGCCCCCAUCUGCCUAAUUGCGGCAGAUGAGUUGCCUUCAUUGCAGCCUCCAACACCUUCAUUGUGUUGGGUGUGAAGGGGUGGAUUUAGUCCCACAUUGCUAAGAGAUAUGGCCUGUGUAGCGUUUAUAUAGCUUAGGCAACCCUCACCUUACAAGCCGGUUUUGUAAGGAUGAGUUAGGCCCAAUAUAAAAUCUGACA
Molecule: long non-coding RNA, 228 nt
Filed under: Trifolium pratense (red clover)
Lineage: Eukaryota; Viridiplantae; Streptophyta; Magnoliopsida; Fabales; Fabaceae
Description: long non-coding RNA (TPRA_LNC013960)
Source: RNAcentral